GGUGAACGCUGGCGGCGUGCUUACGACAUGCAAGUCGAACGCAGUCUUCGGACUGAGUGGCGCACGGGUGAGUAACACGUAACUGACCUACCCCCAAGUCGCGGAUAACUGGCCGAAAGGUCAACUAAUACGUGAUGUGAUGUCCCCUUUCUGGGGGGCCAUUAAAGGUUUACUGCUUGGGGAUGGGGUUGCGUUCCAUCAGCUAGUUGUCGGGGUAAAGGCCCACCAAGGCAACGACGGAUAGCCGGCCUGAGAGGGUGGCCGGCCACAGGGGCACUGAGACACGGGUCCCACUCCUACGGGAGGCAGCAGUUAGGAAUCUUCCACAAUGGGCGAAAGCCUGAUGGAGCGACGCCGCGUGAGGGAUGAAGGUUCUCGGAUCGUAAACCUCUGAAUCAGGGACGAAAGACGCGUAAGCGGGAUGACGGUACCUGAGUAAUAGCACCGGCUAGCUCCGUGCCAGCCGCCGCAGUAA
This 475-nucleotide ribosomal RNA is filed under the name uncultured bacterium. RNAcentral's name for it is "partial 16S ribosomal RNA". It matches the Rfam family "Bacterial small subunit ribosomal RNA", at positions 28 to 523 of the family's 1533-position model. The record is from RNAcentral.